GUUUUUCCAGCAAAAAAUGCGGGAAGUUGUAACAGAGCAAGACAUCACUAGCAAAUUGGAAAAGGCCUCAGGAAAAUUUCAACAGGAACUCACCCAUGUACUAUUCAGGACUAUUGAAUAAUUUUUUUCACGAGGCCCACUGGAGUCUUUUAUCUUGGUCUGCCGACUUCUAUUGAGUCUGCUCAGCAGGAAGCAAUCGUUGGGCUCCAGUGCUGUCAAGCCAGCUCUGUGCAGAAUGCUGCCUCCACAGCUGACAUCUGCUGUGUCACUCUGAAACUUCUCCUCGAGAAACUGGGCAAAUGAUACUUGAUAGGACGUGAAGAAAAAUACAAGCUAAAUAAAUAUUGUAGGAAGCCAGAAAUGCUAGCAACAAGACAGAUAAGUGUCUGUUUUGGGCCCAAAGUGGAAAACUCUGAGGA
Long non-coding RNA from Dromaius novaehollandiae (emu), 419 nucleotides. RefSeq lists it as uncharacterized. The record is from RefSeq and is a predicted model, not a curated record. Lineage: Eukaryota; Metazoa; Chordata; Aves; Casuariiformes; Dromaiidae. The transcript has 3 exons.